RNAcentral lists this ribosomal RNA (468 nucleotides) under uncultured bacterium. RNAcentral's name for it is "partial 16S ribosomal RNA". It matches the Rfam family "Bacterial small subunit ribosomal RNA", at positions 28 to 507 of the family's 1533-position model. The record is from RNAcentral.
GACGAACGCUGGCGGCGUGCUUAACACAUGCAAGUCGAACGGAAAGGCCCUGCUUUUGUGGGGUGCUCGAGUGGCGAACGGGUGAGUAACACGUGAGUAACCUGCCCUUGACUUUGGGAUAACUUCAGGAAACUGGGGCUAAUACCGGAUAGGAGCUCCUGCUGCAUGGUGGGGGUUGGAAAGUUUCGGCGGUUGGGGAUGGACUCGCGGCUUAUCAGCUUGUUGGUGGGGUAGUGGCUUACCAAGGCUUUGACGGGUAGCCGGCCUGAGAGGGUGGACGGCCACAUUAGGACUAAGAUACGGCCCAGAGGCCUACGGGAGGCAGCAGUGGGGAAUAUUGCACAAUGGGCGGGAGCCUGAUGCAGCAGCGCCGCGUGCGGGAUGACGGCCUUCGGGUUGUAAACCGCUUUCGCCUGAGACGAAGCGGGAGUGACGGUAAUGGGUAAAGAAGCACCGGCUAACUACGUG